Ovis aries (sheep) is the source of this 73-nucleotide non-coding RNA. The record is from Rfam. Lineage: Eukaryota; Metazoa; Chordata; Mammalia; Artiodactyla; Bovidae.
UCCCUGGUGGUCCAGUGGUUAGGACUCUGUGCUUCCACUACAGGGGGCCUAGGUUCCAUCCUUGGUCAGGGAA